Molecule: ribosomal RNA, 590 nt
Filed under: uncultured bacterium
Lineage: Bacteria
Description: bacterial SSU rRNA
Rfam family: Bacterial small subunit ribosomal RNA
Source: RNAcentral
GCACGGGUGAGUACACGUGAAUUAUCUACCUUCGAGUGGGGAAUAACUGAGAGAAAUCUUAGCUAAUACCGCAUAAUACCUACGGGUCAAAGCAGCAAUGCGCUUGGGGAGGAGGUCGCGGCCGAUUAGCUAGUUGGCGGGGUAAUGGCCCACCAAGGCGAUGAUCGGUAUCCGGCCUGAGAGGGCGCACGGACACACUGGAACUGAAACACGGUCCAGACUCCUACGGGAGGCAGCAGUGGGGAAUUUUGCGCAAUGGGGGAAACCCUGACGCAGCAACGCCGCGUGGAGGAUGAAGUAUCUUGGUACGUAAACUCCUUUCGAUGGGGAAGAUAAUGACGGUACCCAUAGAAGAAGCCCCCGGCUAACUUCGUGCCAGCAGCCCGCGGUUAAUACGAGGGGGGCAAGCAGUGGUUCGGAAUUAUUGGGCGUAAAGGGUGGCGUAGGCGGUUUGACAAGUCUUAUGUGAAAUCUAUGGGCUCAACCCAUAGUCUGCAUGGGAAACUGUCGGGCUUGAGUAUUGGGAGAGGUGAGUGGAAUUUCCGGUGUAACGGUGAAAUGCGUAGAUCUCGGGAAGGGAACACCCUGUU